CAGUAGCCACGGUAAUACGAAGGGGGCUAGCGUUGUUCGGAUUUACUGGGCGUAAAGGGUGCGUAGGCGGACUGAUAAGUCAGGGGUGAAAUCCCAAGGCUCAACCUUGGAACUGCCUUUGAUACUGUUAGUCUUGAGUUCGAGAGAGGUGAGUGGAACUGCGAGUGUAGAGGUGAAAUUCGUAGAUAUUCGCAAGAACACCAGUGGCGAAGGCGGCUCACUGGCUCGAAACUGACGCUGAGGCACGAAAGCGUGGGGAGCAAACAGGAUUAGAUACCCCUGUAGUCCCUGUCUCUUAUAC
RNAcentral lists this ribosomal RNA (301 nucleotides) under uncultured bacterium. Its description in RNAcentral is "partial 16S ribosomal RNA". It matches the Rfam family "Bacterial small subunit ribosomal RNA", at positions 509 to 807 of the family's 1533-position model. The record is from RNAcentral.